GUUUCAAUAAUUUAAAUUUAAAAUAAUGGUCUUGUAAAUCAUAAAUGAGGUAUCUCUUGAAGCU
This 64-nucleotide transfer RNA is filed under the name Hymenocera picta. RNAcentral's name for it is "tRNA-Thr". Lineage: Eukaryota; Metazoa; Arthropoda; Malacostraca; Decapoda; Palaemonidae. The record is from RNAcentral.